UCCUACGGGAGGCAGCAGUAGGGAAUCUUCCACAAUGGACGCAAGUCUGAUGGAGCAACGCCGCGUGAGUGAAGAAGGUUUUCGGAUCGUAAAGCUCUGUUGUUGGUGAAGAAAGAUAGUGAGAGUAACUGCUCAUUAUUUGCCGGUAAUCAACCAGAAAGUCACGGCUAACUACGUGCCAGCAGCCGCGGUAAU
This 195-nucleotide ribosomal RNA is filed under the name uncultured bacterium. RNAcentral's name for it is "partial 16S ribosomal RNA". It matches the Rfam family "Bacterial small subunit ribosomal RNA", at positions 337 to 524 of the family's 1533-position model. The record is from RNAcentral.